This is a long non-coding RNA of Haliotis rufescens (red abalone), 2419 nucleotides long. RefSeq lists it as uncharacterized. Lineage: Eukaryota; Metazoa; Mollusca; Gastropoda; Lepetellida; Haliotidae. The record is from RefSeq and is a predicted model, not a curated record. The transcript is spliced from 4 exons.
GAAAGUAGAUCUUUAUACCGACCAGGAAGAGGACGUGUUUGCAGUUCGCGCUAUAGUCUGCCAAGGAUUUUGAGAUGCUGAAGUACAGUCUGCUUGUUAUAAUCCUUGCAUUAUUGCAAACAGUGGUGUCAAGAGACUGACCAAAGAUGUUGAGAAGAAGUGGAUGGACUACAAACAAGGAUACCAUUGUUGACAUAGAGAGGGAGACACUGAAAGUCCUAAAGGAUCUUCUUGAGGUCCAAAAAAACAGACUCCACUUGGAAGAACAGAAACGGGCCAACAUCAUUUCACUGGAAGCUGGCCGCUCUGGCUGACUCAAUGUGUCACCAAUUAUUCAGUUCAUAUAAACUUUGUGUCAUUUUCAAAAAUAAAACAAUUCAGACAGUAAAUGUAGCUUCUGCUUUCAUUGAUGAUCGGUUACUAAAAGACAUAAUAAUCUUUAUCACACAAUCAUUAAGAGAAACAGUAGUAGUAUUAUCUUAAAGUAUCAUAUCUUAAUGUCAUCAGCACCUUACUAAUGUCUCAAAUAUUGAUAAAUGUUGUAUGUCAGUGAGUAAAAUAAGUGAUGUACAUGCCGUGACCUGGACUUAAGGAGUCCAAAACCCUCUCCACGGUAUGAUGUGUUCUACAGUGUGCAGUGUUGUAGUGUUCCUCAGACGGUGUUGUAGGGUUCACUAUUGGUGUAAGUGUAGGCAAGGAUUAUAUCCUACCUAAAUAUUAUCCUGGGGGAAGUUUUACUCUAGAGUAUAGUAUCCUACCUUAGUGCCACACUGGUAUAGGUUCAAAUUCACUAGGGAGAAUUAUCCUGACGCAAGAGAAUUUCAUCCCCGGCAGAAAAAAUAGGGGCGGAUAGGAUUGACUCUUACAUAGCAGCAAUGGGCGACAUGAUUAUCUGAUUGAAAAAGUGUCAAUGCGUUAAACAUACUGACCAUGCCACUAAAAAUUGAAAAACAACUUAAAAUGUCCCAAUUUCAAAGGUUAUUCCAUUUUGUGACAAUUUUAAUGGUGUCAGCUUACAUUGUGAAAUUUUGUAUUUCCGUAUACGACGCUAUAAGCGCUCCGCUCUAAUAAGUGCCCACGGCGACAUUUGCUAAGAUAUUGGCUAGUGAAAAAUCCCAAUUAGCAACCCUUCCGAUUGAUCAAUGUACAAAAGACUUAUUUAUUCGGGUAUAAUACGCACUCUUGUGUUAUAUCAGCCAUGCAUUCAUUAAUGAAUGUUAAAGUUAUUUAAUCUAUGUCUGUGUGUGAUCAUCCAACUGGUUGUUUACAGUUUCCUUUUUUCAUUCUGUAUUCAGUAGUGAGCAUUGCUGUAAAACAAUCGUCCUUUAUCACAAUGGAAAUUCUUUCGGUAAUAGAAACCUGUUUUGGACCUCAUGACAAAACCAAUAUCGUGCCUCAGGUAAUGAUUUUGUUUAAUAUCAAUGAGUAGGUGGUAUUACAUAUUGAUGACUUGAGAGUUACCUCCCUUACUGUACGCACUUGUGUAUUACGUCACUGUUGUUGUCUGAUGGUGUUCUUGAAACUAAGAAGUAAAUCCAUUGACCAACCACUUCUAUCUGUUAUGACUUGAUAGUAGUGACGUCUGGUAACAUCAAGCUCUUAACAGGUGACAGUACUAGUCAUUCUCAAGGUCAUUAAUGGCGUAAUCAAGGUGUCUAUCCUUCGAUGUUUCACUUACUAAUUUUGUUAUUACAUGUGAACAACUAAUUUAUUUUACUGUUAAAUAAGGAUGUUGCUGGGAGUUGUUAAAGUCUGUGCAGUGUGAUGUACUUUAGUUCUGAGUCACAGAUAGCUUGAACAUUUAUGGCACAGAAGCCCUUCCUGCAAACGUCUUCAUCUUCGGGGGGUCACACACUAGGUAUGAGGUGCCAUCUAUACAACCAAGCGCUAUUGGAAAUCUACUAAUGUUAUAAAAUGCUUCCUCUGUAACUCGUUAGUCGGAUGUUGUCUUUGGGAACAAAAUCAGUUUUAGUUGUUUGACAAUGGCUUCAUUUGUACGGGUAAACACCCGUGACACAGUGGACUGGGAUACCCCAUGCAAGUCUGCUAGUUCAGUGAAGAACGACCCCUGACCAUAAAAUCUGAGGGCAAGCAAAACCUGUGUUUCCGGGGACAAUGCAUGGGAAAGCUCUGUUUGGGAAGCAAGAUAUGGUUUUAGUGUUUGUAAGCAAAUAUUGCAUGAUGUGGUAACCGGUAGGGCUGGAUAAUGCUGUCUUCGUCCAGUGUUGUCAGGUACCCUAGUUCGGUCUCUUGGUUGUGACCGUUUUGAUUUUUCUUCAUAUAAGCCAAGCAACAAAUAUGAAGGCAACUGAUUCUAAAGUUACGACAGAAAUGUUUGAUUUACGAUAGGUACUAGCCACUCAUAACUUUUCUCUUAAUUUUAAGAGAUAUUUUCUCGAUAGCCUUGUGGAUUGCCUAA